This 290-nucleotide ribosomal RNA is filed under the name uncultured Streptococcus sp. Its description in RNAcentral is "partial 16S ribosomal RNA". It matches the Rfam family "Bacterial small subunit ribosomal RNA", at positions 1090 to 1382 of the family's 1533-position model. Lineage: Bacteria; Bacillati; Bacillota; Bacilli; Lactobacillales; Streptococcaceae. The record is from RNAcentral.
AACCGAGCGCAACCCCUAUUGUUAGUUGCCAUCAUUCAGUUGGGCGACUCUAGCGAGACUGCCGGUAAUAAACCGGAGAAGUGGGGAUGACGUCAAAUCAUCAUGCCCCUUAUGACCUGGGCUACACACGUGCUACAAUGGUUGGUACAACGAGUUGCGAGUCGGUGACGGCGAGCUAAUCUCUUAAAGCCAAUCUCAGUUCGGAUUGUAGGCUGCAACUCGCCUACAUGAAGUCGGAAUCGCUAGUAAUCGCGGAUCAGCACGCCGCGGUGAAUACGUUCCCGGGCCUU